CCUACGGGGCGCAGCAGCCGCGGUAAUACGUAGGUGGCAAGCGUUGUCCGGAUUUACUGGGUGUAAAGGGCGUGCAGCCGGGCUGACAAGUCAGAUGUGAAAUCCCGCGGCUCAACCGCGGAACUGCAUUUGAAACUGUCAGUCUUGAGUACCGGAGAGGUCAUCGGAAUUCCUUGUGUAGCGGUGAAAUGCGUAGAUAUAAGGAAGAACACCAGUGGCGAAGGCGGAUGACUGGACGGCAACUGACGGUGAGGCGCGAAAGCGUGGGGAGCAAACAGGAUUAGAAACCCUUGUAGUCCCAGGAA
This 305-nucleotide ribosomal RNA is filed under the name uncultured bacterium. RNAcentral describes it as "bacterial SSU rRNA". It matches the Rfam family "Bacterial small subunit ribosomal RNA", at positions 500 to 805 of the family's 1533-position model. The record is from RNAcentral.